This 253-nucleotide ribosomal RNA is filed under the name uncultured bacterium. Its description in RNAcentral is "partial 16S ribosomal RNA". It matches the Rfam family "Bacterial small subunit ribosomal RNA", at positions 524 to 776 of the family's 1533-position model. The record is from RNAcentral.
UACGGGGGGGGUAAGCGUUGUUCGGAAUUACUGGGCGUAAAGGGCGCGUAGGCGGACAGUUUAGUCAGAGGUGAAAGCCCAGGGCUCAACCUUGGAAUUGCCUUUGAUACUGGCUGUCUUGAGUUCGGGAGAGGUGAGUGGAAUGCCGAGUGUAGAGGUGAAAUUCGUAGAUAUUCGGCGGAACACCAGUGGCGAAGGCGACUCACUGGCCCGAUACUGACGCUGAGGCGCGAAAGCGUGGGGAGCAAACAGG